CCUACGGGCUGCACCAGUGGGGAAUAUUGCACAAUGGGCGCAAGCCUGAUGCAGCCAUGCCGCGUGUAUGAAGAAGGCCUUCGGGUUGUAAAGUACUUUCAGCGGGGAGGAAGGCGGUGAGGUUAAUAACCUCGCCGAUUGACGUUACCCGCAGAAGAAGCACCGGCUAACUCCGUGCCAGCAGCCGCGGUAAUACGGAGGGUGCAAGCGUUAAUCGGAAUUACUGGGCGUAAAGCGCACGCAGGCGGUCUGUUAGGACAGAUGUGAAAUCCCCGGGCUUAACCUGGGAACUGCAUUUGAAGCUGGCAGGCUUGAGUCUCGUAGAGGGGGGUAGAAUUCCAGGUGUAGCGGUGAAAUGCGUAGAGAUCUGGAGGAAUACCGGUGGCGAAGGCAGCCCCCUGGACGAGGACUGACGCUCAGGUGCGAAAGCGUGGGGAGCAAACAGGAUUAGAUACCCCUGUAGUC
RNAcentral lists this ribosomal RNA (465 nucleotides) under uncultured bacterium. Its description in RNAcentral is "bacterial SSU rRNA". It matches the Rfam family "Bacterial small subunit ribosomal RNA", at positions 338 to 795 of the family's 1533-position model. The record is from RNAcentral.